GUCUUUUCCAAUGAGUCAGCUCUUCACAUCAGGUGGCCAAAGUAUUGGAGUUUCAGCUUCAGCAUCAGUCCUUCCAAUGAAUAUUCAGGACUAAUUUCUUUUAGAACUGACUGCUUUGAUCUCCUUGCAAUCCAAGCGACUCUCAAGAGUCUUCUCCAACACCACAGUUCAAAAGCAUCAGUUCUUCAGUGCUCAGCUUUCUUUAAGUUGUAUUUAAUGUUGCCCCCAUUAAAUACAACUUAAAACCCUAGAAGUGGUCAAACAGGAGAUGGCAAGAGUGAACAUCAACAUUUACAUCAGCAAACUAAAAUGGACCAGAAUAGGCAAAUUUAAUUCAAAUGACCAUUAUAUUUACUACUGUGGGCGAGAAUCCUUUAGAAGAAAGGGAGUAGCCCUCAUAGUCAACAAAAUGCAGUACUUGGAUACAAUCUCAAAAAUGACAGAAUGAUCUCAGUUCAUUUCCAAGGCAAACCAUUCAACAUCACAGUAAUCCAAGUCUAUAUCCCAACGACUAAUGCCGAAGAAGAUGGAAGUUGAAUGGUUCUAUGAAGACCUACAAGACCUUCUAGAACUAACACCAAAAAAAAAAAAGUCCUUUUCAUCAUAGGGGACUGGAAUGCAAAAGUAGGAAGUUAAGAGAUACCUGGAGUAACAGGCAAGUUUGGCCUUGGAGUACAAAAUGAAGCAGGGUAAAGACCAACAGAGUUUUGCCAACAAAACGCACUGGUCAUACCAAACACUCUCUUCUAACAACACAAGAGACAACUCUACACAUGGACAUCACCAGACGAUCAAUACAGGAAUCAGAUUGAUUAUAUUCUUUGCAGUCAAAGAUGGAGAAGCUCUAUCUAUACAGUCAGCAAAAAAAGGCCGGGAGUUGACUGCGGCUCAGAUCAUGAGCUUGUUAUUGCAAAAUUCAGGCUUAAAUUGAAGAAAGCAGGAAAAACCACUAGGUCAUUCAGAUAUGACCUAAAUCAAAUCCUUUACGAUUGUAUAGUAGAAGUGACAAAUAGAUUCAAGGGAUUAGAUCUAAUAGACAGAGUGCUUAAAGAACUAUGGAUGGAGCUUUGAAACCCUGUAUAGGAGGUGAUGACCAAAACCAUCCCCAAGAAAAAGAAAUGCAAGAAGGCAAAAUGGUUCUCUGAAAAGAAGAGCACAAAAGGCAAAGGAAAAAAGGAAAGAUAUACCCAUCUGAAUGCAGAGUUCCA
This is a long non-coding RNA of Bos taurus (domestic cattle), 1208 nucleotides long. NCBI's taxonomy places the organism in Eukaryota, Metazoa, Chordata, Mammalia, Artiodactyla, Bovidae. The record is from Ensembl.